ACGAACGCUGGCGGCGUGCUUAACACAUGCAAGUCGAACGGAAAGGCCCUGCUUUUGUGGGGUGCUCGAGUGGCGAACGGGUGAGUAACACGUGAGUAACCUGCCCUUGACUUUGGGAUAACUUCAGGAAACUGGGGCUAAUACCGGAUAGGAGCUCCUGCUGCAUGGUGGGGGUUGGAAAGUUUCGGCGGUUGGGGAUGGACUCGCGGCUUAUCAGCUUGUUGGUGGGGUAGUGGCUUACCAAGGCUUUGACGGGUAGCCGGCCUGAGAGGGUGACCGGCCAAAUGGGGACUGGGAUACGGCCCAGACCCCCACGGGAGGCAGGAGUGGGGAAUAUUGCACAAGGGGGGGAAGCCUAAUGCAGAAACGCCGGGUGGGGGAAGGCGGCCUUGGGGUUGUAAACCGCUUUCGCCUGUGACGAAGCGUGAGGGGCGGUAAUGGGUAAAGAAGCACCGGCUAACUACGU
RNAcentral lists this ribosomal RNA (466 nucleotides) under uncultured bacterium. Its description in RNAcentral is "partial 16S ribosomal RNA". It matches the Rfam family "Bacterial small subunit ribosomal RNA", at positions 29 to 506 of the family's 1533-position model. The record is from RNAcentral.